Schistosoma haematobium is the source of this 46-nucleotide non-coding RNA. Lineage: Eukaryota; Metazoa; Platyhelminthes; Trematoda; Strigeidida; Schistosomatidae. The record is from Rfam.
GCACUGCUGAGGAGUCCUAUACUAGGACGAUACGGCCGUCCAGUGU